This is a small nuclear RNA of Sorex fumeus (smoky shrew), 159 nucleotides long. RefSeq annotates it as U1 spliceosomal RNA. The transcript has a single exon. The record is from RefSeq and is a predicted model, not a curated record. Lineage: Eukaryota; Metazoa; Chordata; Mammalia; Eulipotyphla; Soricidae.
CUACAUACUUGACAGAGAAGAUUCUAUGAUCAUGAAGGUAGUUUUCCUAAUGUGAGGCUUAUCCAUUGCACUAAAUGUGCUAACCCCUGCAACUUCAAGAAUAUGGGAAACGACCAAAUAAUUUGUAGUUGUGGGGGACUGUGUGUGUGCUCUCCCCUA